UGGUAGUUAGUUUAACAAAAACAAAUGAUUUCGACUCAUUAAAUUAUGCUAACCACAUAACUACCAA
Molecule: transfer RNA, 67 nt
Filed under: Makalata didelphoides (Red-nosed armored tree-rat)
Lineage: Eukaryota; Metazoa; Chordata; Mammalia; Rodentia; Echimyidae
Description: tRNA-Arg
Source: RNAcentral